This 252-nucleotide ribosomal RNA is filed under the name uncultured bacterium. Its description in RNAcentral is "partial 16S ribosomal RNA". It matches the Rfam family "Bacterial small subunit ribosomal RNA", at positions 524 to 776 of the family's 1533-position model. The record is from RNAcentral.
UACGGGGGGGCAAGCGUUGUUCGGAAUUACUGGGCGUAAAGGGCUCGUAGGCGGCCAACUAAGUCAGACGUGAAAUCCCCAGGCUCAACCUGGGAACUGCGUCUGAUACUGGAUGGCUUGAAUUCGGGAGAGGGAUGCAGAAUUCCAGGUGUAGCGGUGAAAUGCGUAGAUAUCUGGAGGAAUACCGGUGGCGAAGGCGGCAUCCUGGACCGACAUUGACGCUGAGGAGCGAAAGCUAGGGGAGCAAACGGG